Molecule: ribosomal RNA, 218 nt
Filed under: uncultured bacterium
Lineage: Bacteria
Description: partial 16S ribosomal RNA
Rfam family: Bacterial small subunit ribosomal RNA
Source: RNAcentral
UGCAUAGGAAUUUGCCUUGAAGUGGGGGAUAGCCCGGAGAAAUCCGGAUUAAUACCGCAUAUGCUCUACGGAGCAAAGUGGGCCUCUGAUUUAAGCUCAUGCUUUGAGAUAAGCCUAUGUCGGAUUAGCUUGUUGGUGGGGUAAAAGCCUACCAAGGCGACGAUCCGUAGCUGGUUUGAGAGGAUGAUCAGCCACACUGGGACUGAGACACGGCCCAG